GCUAAUCCAUCUCCGUCAAUCCCCAUCGCCGGCGUCGCGAUGCCUCCCAACUCCGCUCAACCAGAACACCAGAACGUUGAUCUCCUUCUCCUCUUCGAUCCGUGCUCCUCCAACAAGCUUGAUCUGCACGGGAACCGGGCGGUCGCCGUCCGCAGUCGCCGCUGGACCUCGCCCCCUGAUGGGAUCGAUGACGAACGUCAAGGGCCU
This 207-nucleotide unclassified non-coding RNA is filed under the name Hevea brasiliensis (rubber tree). Lineage: Eukaryota; Viridiplantae; Streptophyta; Magnoliopsida; Malpighiales; Euphorbiaceae. The record is from RNAcentral.